RNAcentral lists this long non-coding RNA (819 nucleotides) under Pogona vitticeps (central bearded dragon). RNAcentral's name for it is "lncRNA (ENSPVIG00000001264.1)". The record is from RNAcentral. Lineage: Eukaryota; Metazoa; Chordata; Lepidosauria; Squamata; Agamidae.
AAUCUCCCUAACAGAUGCAUCGGAAAGGGAAUUACCGUCUACCCUUGCGUUUACUAUGGGGUGGUACAAAAAGAAAUCAAUCGCAUAGAGAGGUGGGGGGGGGAAUAAUCGCCGCCCGCCCCAGAAACUAACUGCAGAGACUAUUCUCUCCCCGCCUCCCGAUUAGGGUUUUUUUUUUUUAAUCAACCCGGGUUACGCGCGCAUGCACACACGCCGGCUGCGGCCAAUUCUCGCGGGACCCGGCGUUCUCGCUAUAAAAAGUCACCAGAGGGGCUCUUCCUUCCUUUCCCAUUUGAUAACUGAGCCAAUCUCCAUGCCUUUGUCCUGUUGCACCUGAAGAAUGUGGAUGUCAGCAUGAAAUCUGCAGCACUGCACAAUGAUUCUACUGUACUAUGAGCAAGGAACUUCAUCUCAAUUUUACAAAAGAGCAAUUGCUCUACUCUCGGUAAGACUGGCCCCAAAUAUUUUGCUCCCUGAAGCAGAGCCUAGAUAGUAUCUCCUCCUUCUGAAAGGGCCAGCGGUCUUUAAGCAGUCUCACUGAACCACUGAGACAUGAAUUCAUGCCUCCAUCCAUAUCCAGCCCACACGGUGCUACCUGAACCUGGUUGCUCCAUGGCAAGCCUGAUCCUUACUCUCUGAACCUAGUUUGCAUUGAGAUGGUAUGCCUGUGUGCGGGUUCUCCUAUCUCAGACUCCUCAUGUGUCUGUAUCAAAUCUUUCAAUGCUCCAGCUUACUCUUCCCAUUAAAAAACACACCCUUGAUGUAGAAACAAAAUAUCAGAGACCAGGAGCUGACUUAGCUUUUUCUAAUGAAUGGUAU